Long non-coding RNA from Acyrthosiphon pisum (pea aphid), 1955 nucleotides. RefSeq lists it as uncharacterized. The transcript has 10 exons. NCBI's taxonomy places the organism in Eukaryota, Metazoa, Arthropoda, Insecta, Hemiptera, Aphididae. The record is from RefSeq and is a predicted model, not a curated record.
AACAUACUAUUAAUAUUUUAUUGAUGACCGUCGACUUUUGAUUUUUGAAUAAUUCGAUUAUUUGAAAUUUGAAAAGAAGACUACAUACGACGAGUUAGAAGAAAAUUAACAGACAAACAAAAGAUUUGGAGACGUUGCGGUUAAUGAUUUUAAUUCACCCAGACUAGCCAUAGCAACUUAAUAAUGUAUAAUUCACUCACACUUAUUUCAUACAAAAGGAUUAUACUUAUUAUGGUUUUCAAAACUGAAAUAUAUAAUGUGCUACAUACAAGGAGCUAGGUAGUGGAGCCAAUGUAUUGACAAUUUUACAGACGUUGACUUUUUAAAGAUAAUUCUGCCGGUUCAGAUGAAGCCAUACAAUACUGGAGUGAAUUAUGAAACUUAAAGGUUGCCGACAUAAAUAAUAUAAUAUAAUGAAAAGGUCAUCUAUAUACUAAGCACCGACCAUGGGCAAGGUCUAUCUAUUUUAAAUCAUGAUGUUAACCUUGCAGCUUAGAAUCUAUAGGGUUUAGGGUAGAACGACUGUAAAUUGGAAUCGUUUCCUUUUAAAUCCUGGUUCGCGGAACAGCGUUCAUCGGACUUCAAUAAAAUUUAAUGCCCGCCACCGAGUUGUACCUCCAAUUGUUGCCGACGUUUGAAUCACUCACAAAUUACAAUUAUAUGAAAUUUGAACAGAAAUGCGGACUACAUUCGUACAGAGUUGAAUUCAUACAUUUUAGAAAAAAAUGUCCAUGCAUAAGUGUAAAACAUCCAAAGUAUCGUCUCGGCACACUACCUUAAUUUUCAUUUAUUUUCAAAAAAUGAAAAUAGAAAGAAAUAAUGGGUAAACAUCUUCGAAUUAAAUGAUUAUCCCAAUUUCUGUCUGUCAUAGAAUCUGCGGUAAUCAUUUAUCAUUUCACAAUCAGUGAUUAUAAACAAUGUUCAGUAAAUUAGUAAAUAUGGUCAGAGGCUGUCUGAAAACUUAAACCAAACCACUUGUCUGGGAUAGAGAAGUAAAAUAAAUGUUAGUAAUUCAUGGCAAAAUUGGUACUACUCUGAGCACGACUAGUAAAUCGCAUCUAAGAGAAAAUUUUGUUUCUACAACGAUGAAUUAGAAGAAAAUGAACACACGAAUAAAAGAUUUGGAGUCCAUACAGUUGAUUAUUUUAAUUCACCCAGAAAAGCCUUAGAUACCCAAUAAUGUCUAAUUCACACACACUUAUCUCAUACAAUAAUGGAUUAUACUUAUUAUGGUUUUCAGAACUGAAAUAUAUGAUGUACCACAUACAAGGAGCUAGGUAGUGGAGACAGAAAGCAGAGUUCUAUUCAUACAUUUUAGUACAAAAUCACCAUGAAUAAGAGUAUUCUUUUCAGUAAAACAUCCAAUGUAUCGCCUUGCCACAUUACGUUAAUCUUCAUUUGUUUCCAAAAAAUGAAAAUAGAAGGAAAUAAUGGCUAAACAUCUUCAAAUUAAAUGAUUAUCCCAAUUUCUAUUUGGCAUAGAAUCUGCGGUAAUCAUUUCACAAUUAGUGAUUGUAUACAAUGCUCUCAAAACAUAAUCCAAACCACUUGUCUCGGAUGGAGGAGUUAAUUAAAUUUUAGUAAUUUACAGCGACAUUGGUAUUAUUCUAAGCACGACUAGUAAUUCGCAUCAAAGAGAAAAUUGUGUUUCUCGAACGAUGAUAAACCUACAAACAAAGGAUUUGGAGACGUUACAAUUUAUGAUUUCAAUUCACCCAAAAAACCCAGAAAAAAGCCUUAGAUACUCAAUAAUGUCUUAUUCACACACACUUAUGUAAUUAGACAUAUCACCUCGAUAUAUUUAAAUUGCAAAUAAACACAUAACUAGUUUGGACUUCAGUAUCUUUUCUAUAGGAAAAGUUAUUCUAGUUGGAUUACAGGUAAAAAUUGAAAAUUCUUAGGUGUUUUCAAAUACAUUGGGAAAAACAAAUAAAUAAUUAAGGAAAAAUGGUUAU